CAACCAACUAAGCCUGAAAGACUUUUAUUCAUUUAUUACAAGAAAAGUUCAUUUAACUUCAAAAGGAAAAUGCAAGAAUAGUGAAUACUCUUCAUUAAAUCACAAAUCCACAUUCACAUAAUAUAAUAAUUUGAUUCAAUUUGACUCGUUUAAAAGGAAAAAAGAAAAUGGAAGAAGCAAAUAUUUUAUAGACAUUGCAUACAAAGUAAUUCCUCAUAUUAUAUUUAUAUCCACUGUGAUUUUAUCCAUUUGGCACUAUCAAAAGUAAUAACUGGUUCACUCCAUGGCAUCAUAUAUAGAUCAAGUAGCGUAACUACAAUAUGAGCUGAAGGCCAUGGCAAAAGAAUUUUAGACCUGAGGCAUGUUAAAGAUACAAGAAAACACAUAGAACCUAAGUGAUAUCCCUGUUCAUUGAUGGAAUGACAUUUUUACUCCUCACCAAGCAGGCAACUCCAGUAAUUAUUAGGGAGGGAAGAUCUAUUCCUAAAAUUAAUAAUUGCAAUUUAACAAAAAGGUAUCCCCAAAAUGAAAAAAUGUAUCCCAAAGAAAAAAUGAAGGGACAAAAUUGCCAAUAACAAUUACAGCAGUAGCAGGAGGACUGGAGGAGUUAGAGAUAGUUGUUCUAAUUGAUUUGACAUACCC
RNAcentral lists this unclassified non-coding RNA (642 nucleotides) under Hevea brasiliensis (rubber tree). Lineage: Eukaryota; Viridiplantae; Streptophyta; Magnoliopsida; Malpighiales; Euphorbiaceae. The record is from RNAcentral.